Molecule: ribosomal RNA, 483 nt
Filed under: uncultured bacterium
Lineage: Bacteria
Description: partial 16S ribosomal RNA
Rfam family: Bacterial small subunit ribosomal RNA
Source: RNAcentral
GACGAACGCUGGCGGCGUGCUUAACACAUGCAAGUCGAACGAUGAAGCCGGAGCUUGCUCCGGUGGAUUAGUGGCGAACGGGUGAGUAACACGUGAGCAAUCUGCCCUUGACUCUGGGAUAACUGCGGGAAACUGUAGCUAAUACCGGAUACGACACCUUGGGGCAUCCCAGGGGGUGGAAAGAAUUUCGGUCAAGGAUGAGCUCGCGGCCUAGCAGCUAGUUGGUGAGGUAAUGGCUCACCAAGGCGACGACGGGUAGCCGGGCUGAGAGGGUGACCGGCCACACUGGACCUGAGACACGGUCCAGACUCCUACGGGAGGCAGCAGUGGGGAAUAUUGCACAAUGGGCGAAAGCCUGAUGCAGCAACGCCGCGUGAGGGAUGAAGGCCUUCGGGUUGUAAACCUCUUUUAGCAGGGAAGAAGCGAAAGUGACGGUACCUGCAGAAAAAGCACCGGCUAACUACGUGCCAGCCGCCGCAGUAA